GGCAACGUGGCCGAGCGGUCUAAGGCGCUGGAAUUAGGAGGUUUCCCCAAAAGGGAACUUACGGAACAAUCCAGUCCUCCGGGGCGUGAGUUCGAACCUCACCGUUGUCA
Molecule: non-coding RNA, 110 nt
Organism: Desarmillaria ectypa
Lineage: Eukaryota; Fungi; Basidiomycota; Agaricomycetes; Agaricales; Physalacriaceae
Source: the annotation of a GenBank genome assembly